AAAGGUGGUUUAUAAGAACAUCAAGAUUAUUUUUUACAUGUUUUAUUGGCUAUUUUCUGUUUGACUCUCCGUAUUUUCAUAGCUAGACCGGUCAUCGGUCCAGAAAUUAAUGUAAUGUUUACAAACACUUUUUUUCUACACGAAGUUUUUGACGCAAUUUUACAAAAAAAUGAGACGAAAGACAUAUGAUUUUCAUUGGAUUUAUUGAAAGAUAUAUGUAAACAGUUUCAGAUAAGGUAUUACUUGAAGUGAUUGAAAUUCUACUUUUGGUCAAAUUUUGGGAAAAUAUGUGACAUCUUUUCCCCCCUUUUUGCUAUAUUUUAUAUCAAAAGAAUGCAGAUUGUUGCCAUGGAUACACCAAAAAGAAAUUAUAUUUAACCAUUUUAUAUACUGGAUAUGAAAUCUAUGGAAGAUUCUGAUUACAUACAUAUGCACAUAUAUGACACAAACAGUAAGCUUAAUAUUGCAAGAAGGCAAUGAAAAGGGGAUGGGAAAAUUUAUGAGGGAAAAUUUUAACAUUUUUUCCUAACUGUUUAUUGCUACCUUAUGGCAUACUUACCAAGCUCAGAAUUGUAUAAUUUAAGACUUUUCAUACCACAAAUCUAUAUAUAUUUAGAUUCUAAGUCAACUUCUGAGAGGAUUAAGUGUUUAAGAAUGACAAUAUAUGUCAAUUUUAUUGUUUACAGUCCUUAGCAACCAAAAUUAGACAUUUUGACACAAGGCUUAUAAGUGUACUGUAUUUGCUUAACCCUUGCUUCUGAAGGAUUGUGCAGUAUGUAGUAGCCUAAGUAUUGAAUAUUUUGUAUUUUUUCUUGCGAAUAUAUCAAAUUAUUAUUUUUAUCAAGAUUUCAUGUUACAUUUUGACAAAUAUUAAAUGUAUAGUUGAUUCAGCUGUAAGAAAUUGAUUCCCCAUUACCAAGUUUUUUAAUCAAGUCUUUGGUAUACAUUAAACAUAAAGAUUAACAUUUUCAUGCUUGAAAUUGUUAAAUUUUGUACAAUUUUGCAUCAUCAGAGGUCUUAUAAAGAUUUUCAACAUUAAAAAACUGACAAAAGAGGUAUAGUUUUUAAGAUUUUGCCAAAAAUUGAGGUAGAAAAAAGAUUUUACACUUUGACUUGGCACCUUUCUUUAAAUCAGUUUUUGUCGCGUUUCAGUGUCAACUGCUAACCUUCAUAAAAUAUUCAUUACUCAACCAAUUUUCAAAAAUAAAAGGCCAUUUUACUGGUUUUAGCUAGCAGAACACAGAAAAUUAGUUAAAAGGGAGAAUUUGAAAAAAAUAUUUACUAUUAAGGCAUACUUACCAAGCUCAGAAUUGUAUAAUUUAAGACUUUUCAUACCACAAAUCUAUAUAUAUUUAGAUUCUAAGUCAACUUCUGAGAGGAUUAAGUGUUUAAGAAUGACAAUAUAUGUCAAUUUUAUUGUUUACAGUCCUUAGCAACCAAAAUUAGACAUUUUGACACAAGGCUUAUAAGUGUACUGUAUUUGCUUAACCCUUGCUUCUGAAGGAUUGUGCAGUAUGUAGUAGCCUAAGUAUUGAAUAUUUUGUAUUUUUUCUUGCGAAUAUAUCAAAUUAUUAUUUUUAUCAAGAUUUCAUGUUACAUUUUGACAAAUAUUAAAUGUAUAGUUGAUUCAGCUGUAAGAAAUUGAUUCCCCAUUACCAAGUUUUUUAAUCAAGUCUUUGGUAUACAUUAAACAUAAAGAUUAACAUUUUCAUGCUUGAAAUUGUUAAAUUUUGUACAAUUUUGCAUCAUCAGAGGUCUUAUAAAGAUUUUCAACAUUAAAAAACUGACAAAAGAGGUAUAGUUUUUAAGAUUUUGCCAAAAAUUGAGGUAGAAAAAAGAUUUUACACUUUGACUUGGCACCUUUCUUUAAAUCAGUUUUUGUCGCGUUUCAGUGUCAACUGCUAACCUUCAUAAAAUAUUCAUUACUCAACCAAUUUUCAAAAAUAAAAGGCCAUUUUACUGGUUUUAGCUAGCAGAACACAGAAAAUUAGUUAAAAGGGAGAAUUUGAAAAAAAUAUUUACUAUUAAGGUAGCAAUACACAGUUAGGAGUUUGGUUUCGCAUUUUGGCCCCGGUGGAUUUUUCAAAUAUGAAAGUUAUUGUGUAAUAAAAUUCAUUUUUAGACAGCUGAGUACUAAUUUAGCCUUCAAAGGUGGUUUAUAAGAACAUCAAGAUUAUUUUUUACAUGUUUUAUUGGCUAUUUUCUGUUUGACUCUCCGUAUUUUCAUAGCUAGACCGGUCAUCGGUCCAGAAAUUAAUGUAAUGUUUACAAACACUUUUUUUCUACACGAAGUUUUUGACGCAAUUUUACAAAAAAAUGAGACGAAAGACAUAUGAUUUUCAUUGGAUUAAUUGAAAGAUAUAUGUAAACAGUUUCAGAUAAGGUAUUACUUGAAGUGAUUGAAAUUCUACUUUUGGUCAAAUUUUGGGAAAAUAUGUGACAUCUUUUCCCCCCUUUUUGCUAUAUUUUAUAUCAAAAGAAUGCAGAUUGUUGCCAUGGAUACACCAAAAAGAAAUUAUAUUUAACCAUUUUAUAUACUGGAUAUGAAAUCUAUGGAAGAUUCUGAUUACAUACAUAUGCACAUAUAUGACACAAACAGUAAGCUUAAUAUUGCAAGAAGGCAAUGAAAAGGGGAUGGGAAAAUUUAUGAGGGAAAAUUUUAACAUUUUUUCCUAACUGUUUAUUGCUACCUUAUGGCAUACUUACCAAGCUCAGAAUUGUAUAAUUUAAGACUUUUCAUACCACAAAUCUAUAUAUAUUUAGAUUCUAAGUCAACUUCUGAGAGGAUUAAGUGUUUAAGAAUGACAAUAUAUGUCAAUUUUAUUGUUUACAGUCCUUAGCAACCAAAAUUAGACAUUUUGACACAAGGCUUAUAAGUGUACUGUAUUUGCUUAACCCUUGCUUCUGAAGGAUUGUGCAGUAUGUAGUAGCCUAAGUAUUGAAUAUUUUGUAUUUUUUCUUGCGAAUAUAUCAAAUUAUUAUUUUUAUCAAGAUUUCAUGUUACAUUUUGACAAAUAUUAAAUGUAUAGUUGAUUCAGCUGUAAGAAAUUGAUUCCCCAUUACCAAGUUUUUUAAUCAAGUCUUUGGUAUACAUUAAACAUAAAGAUUAACAUUUUCAUGCUUGAAAUUGUUAAAUUUUGUACAAUUUUGCAUCAUCAGAGGUCUUAUAAAGAUUUUCAACAUUAAAAAACUGACAAAAGAGGUAUAGUUUUUAAGAUUUUGCCAAAAAUUGAGGUAGAAAAAAGAUUUUACACUUUGACUUGGCACCUUUCUUUAAAUCAGUUUUUGUCGCGUUUCAGUGUCAACUGCUAACCUUCAUAAAAUAUUCAUUACUCAACCAAUUUUCAAAAAUAAAAGGCCAUUUUACUGGUUUUAGCUAGCAGAACACAGAAAAUUAGUUAAAAGGGAGAAUUUGAAAAAAAUAUUUACUAUUAAGGUAGCAAUACACAGUUAGGAGUUUGGUUUCGCAUUUUGGCCCCGGUGGAUUUUUCAAAUAUGAAAGUUAUUGUGUAAUAAAAUUCAUUUUUAGACAGCUGAGUACUAAUUUAGCCUUCAAAGGUGGUUUAUAAGAACAUCAAGAUUAUUUUUUACAUGUUUUAUUGGCUAUUUUCUGUUUGACUCUCCGUAUUUUCAUAGCUAGACCGGUCAUCGGUCCAGAAAUUAAUGUAAUGUUUACAAACACUUUUUUUCUACACGAAGUUUUUGACGCAAUUUUACAAAAAAAUGAGACGAAAGACAUAUGAUUUUCAUUGGAUUUAUUGAAAGAUAUAUGUAAACAGUUUCAGAUAAGGUAUUACUUGAAGUGAUUGAAAUUCUACUUUUGGUCAAAUUUUGGGAAAAUAUGUGACAUCUUUUCCCCCCUUUUUGCUAUAUUUUAUAUCAAAAGAAUGCAGAUUGUUGCCAUGGAUACACCAAAAAGAAAUUAUAUUUAACCAUUUUAUAUACUGGAUAUGAAAUCUAUGGAAGAUUCUGAUUACAUACAUAUGCACAUAUAUGACACAAACAGUAAGCUUAAUAUUGCAAGAAGGCAAUGAAAAGGGGAUGGGAA
This is a long non-coding RNA of Mytilus californianus (California mussel), 4048 nucleotides long. RefSeq lists it as uncharacterized. NCBI's taxonomy places the organism in Eukaryota, Metazoa, Mollusca, Bivalvia, Mytilida, Mytilidae. The record is from RefSeq and is a predicted model, not a curated record. The transcript is spliced from 3 exons.